GGGGCCGUAGCCUAGCAAGGUAGGGCGUCCGGCUCCAGACCGGAAGGUCGGGGGUUCAAGUCCCCCCGGCCCCA
This 74-nucleotide transfer RNA is filed under the name Thermoprotei archaeon. RNAcentral describes it as "tRNA-Trp". It matches the Rfam family "tRNA". Rfam says of the family: Transfer RNA (tRNA) molecules are approximately 80 nucleotides in length. Their secondary structure includes four short double-helical elements and three loops (D, anti-codon, and T loops). Lineage: Archaea; Thermoproteati; Thermoproteota; Thermoprotei. The record is from RNAcentral.